GGGUUGUGAGGUUAAGCGACUAAGCGUACACGGUGGAUGCCCUGGCAGUCAGAGGCGAUGAAGGACGUGCUAAUCUGCGAUAAGCGUCGGUAAGGUGAUAUGAACCGUUAUAACCGGCGAUUUCCGAAUGGGGAAACCCAGUGUGAUUCGUCACACUAUCAUUAACUGAAUCCAUAGGUUAAUGAGGCGAACCGGGGGAACUGAAACAUCUAAGUACCCCGAGGAAAAGAAAUCAACCGAGAUUCCCCCAGUAGCGGCGAGCGAACGGGGAGGAGCCCAGAGCCUGAAUCAGUGUGUGUGUUAGUGGAAGCGUCUGGAAAGGCGCGCGAUACAGGGUGACAGCCCCGUACACAAAAAUGCACAUGCUGUGAGCUCGAUGAGUAGGGCGGGACACGUGGUAUCCUGUCUGAAUAUGGGGGGACCAUCCUCCAAGGCUAAAUACUCCUGACUGACCGAUAGUGAACCAGUACCGUGAGGGAAAGGCGAAAAGAACCCCGGCGAGGGGAGUGAAAAAGAACCUGAAACCGUGUACGUACAAGCAGUGGGAGCCUCUUUUAUGGGGUGACUGCGUACCUUUUGUAUAAUGGGUCAGCGACUUAUAUUCUGUAGCAAGGUUAACCGAAUAGGGGAGCCGAAGGGAAACCGAGUCUUAACCGGGCGUUAAGUUGCAGGGUAUAGACCCGAAACCCGGUGAUCUAGCCAUGGGCAGGUUGAAGGUUGGGUAACACUAACUGGAGGACCGAACCGACUAAUGUUGAAAAAUUAGCGGAUGACUUGUGGCUGGGGGUGAAAGGCCAAUCAAACCGGGAGAUAGCUGGUUCUCCCCGAAAGCUAUUUAGGUAGCGCCUCGUGAAUUCAUCUCCGGGGGUAGAGCACUGUUUCGGCAAGGGGGUCAUCCCGACUUACCAACCCGAUGCAAACUGCGAAUACCGGAGAAUGUUAUCACGGGAGACACACGGCGGGUGCUAACGUCCGUCGUGAAGAGGGAAACAACCCAGACCGCCAGCUAAGGUCCCAAAGUCAUGGUUAAGUGGGAAACGAUGUGGGAAGGCCCAGACAGCCAGGAUGUUGGCUUAGAAGCAGCCAUCAUUUAAAGAAAGCGUAAUAGCUCACUGGUCGAGUCGGCCUGCGCGGAAGAUGUAACGGGGCUAAACCAUGCACCGAAGCUGCGGCAGCGACACUGUGUGUUGUUGGGUAGGGGAGCGUUCUGUAAGCCUGUGAAGGUGUGCUGUGAGGCAUGCUGGAGGUAUCAGAAGUGCGAAUGCUGACAUAAGUAACGAUAAAGCGGGUGAAAAGCCCGCUCGCCGGAAGACCAAGGGUUCCUGUCCAACGUUAAUCGGGGCAGGGUGAGUCGACCCCUAAGGCGAGGCCGAAAGGCGUAGUCGAUGGGAAACAGGUUAAUAUUCCUGUACUUGGUGUUACUGCGAAGGGGGGACGGAGAAGGCUAUGUUGGCCGGGCGACGGUUGUCCCGGUUUAAGCGUGUAGGCUGGUUUUCCAGGCAAAUCCGGAAAAUCAAGGCUGAGGCGUGAUGACGAGGCACUACGGUGCUGAAGCAACAAAUGCCCUGCUUCCAGGAAAAGCCUCUAAGCAUCAGGUAACAUCAAAUCGUACCCCAAACCGACACAGGUGGUCAGGUAGAGAAUACCAAGGCGCUUGAGAGAACUCGGGUGAAGGAACUAGGCAAAAUGGUGCCGUAACUUCGGGAGAAGGCACGCUGAUAUGUAGGUGAAGUCCCUCGCGGAUGGAGCUGAAAUCAGUCGAAGAUACCAGCUGGCUGCAACUGUUUAUUAAAAACACAGCACUGUGCAAACACGAAAGUGGACGUAUACGGUGUGACGCCUGCCCGGUGCCGGAAGGUUAAUUGAUGGGGUCAGCGCAAGCGAAGCUCUUGAUCGAAGCCCCGGUAAACGGCGGCCGUAACUAUAACGGUCCUAAGGUAGCGAAAUUCCUUGUCGGGUAAGUUCCGACCUGCACGAAUGGCGUAAUGAUGGCCAGGCUGUCUCCACCCGAGACUCAGUGAAAUUGAACUCGCUGUGAAGAUGCAGUGUACCCGCGGCAAGACGGAAAGACCCCGUGAACCUUUACUAUAGCUUGACACUGAACAUUGAGCCUUGAUGUGUAGGAUAGGUGGGAGGCUUUGAAGUGUGGACGCCAGUCUGCAUGGAGCCGACCUUGAAAUACCACCCUUUAAUGUUUGAUGUUCUAACGUGGACCCGUGAUCCGGGUUGCGGACAGUGUCUGGUGGGUAGUUUGACUGGGGCGGUCUCCUCCUAAAGAGUAACGGAGGAGCACGAAGGUUGGCUAAUCCUGGUCGGACAUCAGGAGGUUAGUGCAAUGGCAUAAGCCAGCUUGACUGCGAGCGUGACGGCGCGAGCAGGUGCGAAAGCAGGUCAUAGUGAUCCGGUGGUUCUGAAUGGAAGGGCCAUCGCUCAACGGAUAAAAGGUACUCCGGGGAUAACAGGCUGAUACCGCCCAAGAGUUCAUAUCGACGGCGGUGUUUGGCACCUCGAUGUCGGCUCAUCACAUCCUGGGGCUGAAGUAGGUCCCAAGGGUAUGGCUGUUCGCCAUUUAAAGUGGUACGCGAGCUGGGUUUAGAACGUCGUGAGACAGUUCGGUCCCUAUCUGCCGUGGGCGCUGGAGAACUGAGGGGGGCUGCUCCUAGUACGAGAGGACCGGAGUGGACGCAUCACUGGUGUUCGGGUUGUCAUGCCAAUGGCACUGCCCGGUAGCUAAAUGCGGAAGAGAUAAGUGCUGAAAGCAUCUAAGCACGAAACUUGCCCCGAGAUGAGUUCUCCCUGACCCUUUAAGGGUCCUGAAGGAACGUUGAAGACGACGACGUUGAUAGGCCGGGUGUGUAAGCGCAGCGAUGCGUUGAGCUAACCGGUACUAAUGAACCGUGAGGCUUAACCUUACAACGCCGAAGGUGUUU
This 2930-nucleotide ribosomal RNA is filed under the name Escherichia coli O157:H7. Its description in RNAcentral is "bacterial LSU rRNA". It matches the Rfam family "Bacterial large subunit ribosomal RNA". Lineage: Bacteria; Pseudomonadati; Pseudomonadota; Gammaproteobacteria; Enterobacterales; Enterobacteriaceae. The record is from RNAcentral.